Non-coding RNA from Paramuricea clavata, 135 nucleotides. The record is from the annotation of a GenBank genome assembly. NCBI's taxonomy places the organism in Eukaryota, Metazoa, Cnidaria, Anthozoa, Malacalcyonacea, Plexauridae.
AAAAAGCAGCUAUAGCUUUGUUUAUAUUUUUGGCUAAAAAGCAGACAUGAGAGAAAAACACGGAAAAGUCAGAUGUCUGCUCUCUCAUGUCUGCUUUUUAGCCAAAAAUAUAAACAAAGCUAUAGCUGCUUUUUU